GCAGUUAAAGCUCGUAGUUGGAUUUUGGUUAAGAGGGCGCGGUCGGCCGUUUGGUCUGUACUGCGUUGUCUUGACUUCCUGAUGAGGACAUGCUCUUGGUUAACGCGGAGACAUGGAGUCAUCGUGGUUACUUUGAAAAAAUUAGAGUGUUCAAAGCGGGCUUACGCUUGAAUAUAUUAGCAUGGAAUAACACUAUAGGACUCCUGUCCUAUCUCGUUGGUCUCGGGAUGGGAGUAAUGAUUAAGAGGAACAGUUGGGGGCAUUCGUAUUUCAUUGUCAGAGGUGAAAUUCUUGGAUUUAUGAAAGACGAACUUCUGCGAAAGCAUUUGCCAAGGAUGUUUUCAUUAAUCAAGAACGAAAGUUGGGGGCUCGAAGAUGAUUAGAUACCAUCCUAGUCUCAACCAUAAACGAUGCCGACUAGGGAUUGGUGGAUGUUAAUUGAUGACUUCACCAGCACCUUAUGAGAAAUCAAAGUUUUUGGGUUCCGGGGGGAGUAUGGUCGCAAGGCUGAAACUUAAAGGAAUUGACGGAAGGGCACCACCAGGCGUGGAGCCUGCGGCUUAAUUUGACUCAACACGGGGAAACUUACCAGGUCCAGACAUAAGUAUGAUUGACAGAUUGAGAGCUCUUUCUUGAUUCUAUGGGUG
Molecule: ribosomal RNA, 647 nt
Filed under: uncultured prasinophyte
Lineage: Eukaryota; Viridiplantae; Chlorophyta
Description: SSU rRNA
Rfam family: Eukaryotic small subunit ribosomal RNA
Source: RNAcentral